Molecule: ribosomal RNA, 429 nt
Filed under: Gemmatimonadota bacterium
Lineage: Bacteria; Pseudomonadati; Gemmatimonadota
Description: Gemmatimonadetes bacterium partial 16S ribosomal RNA
Rfam family: Bacterial small subunit ribosomal RNA
Source: RNAcentral
UAGGGAAUCUUCGGCAAUGGACGAAAGUCUGACCGAGCAACGCCGCGUGAGUGAAGAAGGUUUCCGGAUCGUAAAACUCUGUUGUUAGAGAAGAACAAGGACGUUAGUAACUGAACGUCCCCUGACGGUAUCUAACCAGAAAGCCACGGCUAACUACGUGCCAGCAGCCGCGGUAAUACGUAGGUGGCACGCGUUGUCCGGAUUUAUUGGACGUAAAGCGAGCGGAGGCGGUUUCUUAAGUCUGAUGUGAAAGCCCCCGGCUCAACCGGGGAGGGUCAUUGGAAACUGGGAGACUUGAGUGCAGAAGAGGGGAGUGGAAUUCCAUGUGUAGCGGUGAAAUGCGUAGAUAUAUGGAGGAACACCAGUGGCGAAGGCGGCUCUCUGGUCUGUAACUGACGCUGAGGCUCGAAAGCGUGGGGAGCAAACAGG